RNAcentral lists this ribosomal RNA (254 nucleotides) under uncultured bacterium. RNAcentral describes it as "partial 16S ribosomal RNA". It matches the Rfam family "Bacterial small subunit ribosomal RNA", at positions 524 to 776 of the family's 1533-position model. The record is from RNAcentral.
UACGUAGGGUGCGGGCGUUGUCCGGAAUUAUUGGGCGUAAAGAGCUCGUAGGCGGUGUGUCGCGUCGGCCGUGAAAACCUGCAGCUUAACUGUGGGCUUGCGGUCGAUACGGGCAUCACUGGAGUUCGGCAGGGGAGACUGGAAUUCCUGGUGUAGCGGUGAAAUGCGCAGAUAUCAGGAGGAACACCGGUGGCGAAGGCGGGUCUCUGGGCCGAUACUGACGCUGAGGAGCGAAAGCGUGGGGAGCGAACAGG